AGCUGGUACACUGGUCUUCUCUGGCCUUUGGAGUCAGAGUGAACUGGAACUUACUCCAUUGGCUCUCCUGGUUCUCAGUCUUUGGACUCCGACAGGAACUAGACCAUCGGCUCUCCUGGGUCCCCGGCUGACUGACCACAGAUCAUGGAACUCCUCAGCCCCCUAUCCACAUGAGCCAAUUCCUUAUAAUAGGAUGCCUGCCACAGCAUAGCUUGCCAAGCGGUGCCAUGUCUGCACCCGGGAUCCGAACGGGUGAACCCCGAGCUGCCAAAGUGGAACACGCGCACUUAACCACUGUGCCACGGGGCCGGCCCCAUCAUGCUCAUAUUCCUGAUAGAAUUACUUUAAGAAAGGAGUGUCUGCAAAGGAUGAGAAAUAGAGUUGGUGGAUCUGCCUGGAGUCACGGGAGAAAGAAGGGAAAAUCUGAAAGGUCUGUGGAAGAUGAAUCAAGGAGAAGUCGAAAAACCUGUUUAAGAUGUUUAAGGGAGCAGAGAAAUUCAAGGAUCAAUAGGAAAUCUCCUUGUGUGAGG
Molecule: long non-coding RNA, 530 nt
Filed under: Equus caballus (horse)
Lineage: Eukaryota; Metazoa; Chordata; Mammalia; Perissodactyla; Equidae
Description: lncRNA (ENSECAG00000052095.1)
Source: RNAcentral